RNAcentral lists this ribosomal RNA (651 nucleotides) under Welwitschia mirabilis. RNAcentral's name for it is "eukaryotic LSU rRNA". It matches the Rfam family "Eukaryotic large subunit ribosomal RNA", at positions 33 to 681 of the family's 3401-position model. Lineage: Eukaryota; Viridiplantae; Streptophyta; Gnetopsida; Welwitschiales; Welwitschiaceae. The record is from RNAcentral.
UUUAAGCAUAUAACUAAGCGGAGGAGCAGAAACUUACGAGGAUUCCCUUAGUAACGGCGAGCGAAACGGGAAAGGCCCAGCGUGAGAAUCGGGCUCCCCUCUGGUUGCUCGAAUUGUAGUCUGUAGAAGCUUCCCCGGCGCCGGACCGAGCCAGAGUCCCUUGGAAUGGGGCGCCAUAGAGGGUGAGAGCCCCUUGAGGCUUGGAACCUGACGCAACGCGGGGUGCUAUCACAGAGUCGGGCUGUUUGGGAGUACAGCCCCAAUGGGGCGGUAAGUUCCGUCCAAGGCUAAAUACGCGCGAGAGACCGAUAGCGAACAAGUACCGCGAGGGAAAGAUGAAAAGGACUUUGGAAAGAGAGUUAAAGAGUGCUUGAAAUUGCCGGGAGGGAAGCGGAUGGAGGCCAACGCUGCGUUCGAGGCGGAUGCGGGACGUGGAGACGUCGGCCCGCUGCUCGGAUUCGGACGGAGAGCCGCACGGGCCUCGGCGGCCACAGAAGUGCCAGGGGGAGCCUCCUGGCAUGGCGUCGUCGACGGGGUCGAGGAUCGCAGCAUGCGUACUUGUGUGGGGCCUCGCGGGCCUGCAUGCUCGAGGUGUGGACAGUGGGCCUUCCAUUCGGCCCGUCUUGAAACACGGACCAAGGAGUCUAACAC